UACGUAGGGCGCAAGCGUUGUCCGGAAUUAUUGGGCGUAAAGAGCUCGUAGGCGGCUUGUCACGUCGGGUGUGAAAGCCCGGGGCUUAACCCCGGGUCUGCAUUCGAUACGGGCUAGCUAGAGUGUGGUAGGGGAGAUCGGAAUUCCUGGUGUAGCGGUGAAAUUCGCAGAUAUCAGGAGGAACACCGGUGGCGAAGGCGGAUCUCUGGGCCAUUACUGACGCUGAGGAGCGAAAGCGUGGGGAGCGAACAGG
RNAcentral lists this ribosomal RNA (253 nucleotides) under uncultured bacterium. RNAcentral's name for it is "partial 16S ribosomal RNA". It matches the Rfam family "Bacterial small subunit ribosomal RNA", at positions 524 to 776 of the family's 1533-position model. The record is from RNAcentral.